GGAAACUACAAGUAGCUUGAGAUGGAAGGGGAAAAAAGCCCUGGUGUUCUGCAGAUGAUUGGUGCCUGGUGUAGGUGGCUUUGGCGCUUUGCAAUCCAUAUUGGCUAAUGUUCUGCUUCUCUGAGCAGAGGUACGGGAACCAUGCCACAGAUUGGCUUGGAAGCCAUGCUUUUUCUUUGUAUUUCGGCAUUCUUCUCCUCAAUGAAUCCCAGGUCUGCUUUCUAGUGAUUGUGUUGGGGUAGCUUACCCACUUUCGGGUCUUUUGUAGGUGGUGCAGCGCCCCCUUUUAUUACCCAAACAACAAGCAUGAAAUGAUACAAAAUUUUAAAAGCCUGAAAAUUUUUGUUUAUAAUAUCCCGCUAACAAUUUUUCCUACAACAACCACAAUUCCAAAGGAAAUAAGAGCUGUCAAGGCACCUUGUCUUGAAAGCCAGAAUUCAGACCAUGUCAGGGGUCUAGUAACCUGGAAUAAUACCUUCCGGAAUUGUUCCUCCAAGUCCUCUAACGAGCCAGUGUUAUCAAUGACAAUGUCAGCCUUGGACCUUUUUAAAUCCAUGGCCAUCUGAGCAUUUAUCCUAUUUCUGGCAUCCUCCUCAGUGGAUCCAUCUCUUGCCAUGAGCCGCUGAAGCUGUGUUUCAGUAUCAACCCAUACAACAACAACUGGCUUUGUCCACUUAUCCAUCUUGGUCUCAAAUAGCAAUGGGAUGUCAAGGACAAUUACCUUAUACCCCUUCAACCAAAGCUUCAAAAUUUCACAAAAGAUACCAGAAGAAAUAUAAGGAGCCAAAAGCCGAUUAAGAACUUGACGUUUUGCAUUAUCAGAGAACACUAUCCGGCCCAGUUUUGGCCUAUCCACUUCCCCAUCUGCUUCUAAGAUUUCCUCUCCAAAUGCUGCAACAACCUUAUUAUAGCCACCAGUGUCUUUCUUUAGAACAUACCGAGCGACUAGAUCGGCGUCAACGACGGGAAAUCCAUGGGAUUUGAAAAGAUUGGAGACCGUACUCUUCCCCGACGCUAUUCCACCGGUCAAUCCCACCAACCUCAUUUUCACUGUAGUUGAGAUGCUCCUUUUGCCCUUAUUCCCAAACAAAGCAAGGUAUCGAAAGCGAGUACAGUAAAUAGAAGCUGGACGGAUUUCACAAUACAUAAUCGAAAUUUAGCUCUCUAGUCUCCCACACAUAUUUACAAAUUACGUGCUUCAGGGUCUGUUUGGAUGGAGUGAGGAAAGG
This 1229-nucleotide unclassified non-coding RNA is filed under the name Hevea brasiliensis (rubber tree). The record is from RNAcentral. Lineage: Eukaryota; Viridiplantae; Streptophyta; Magnoliopsida; Malpighiales; Euphorbiaceae.